Molecule: long non-coding RNA, 99 nt
Organism: Perognathus longimembris pacificus (Pacific pocket mouse)
Lineage: Eukaryota; Metazoa; Chordata; Mammalia; Rodentia; Heteromyidae
Exons: 3
Source: RefSeq, a predicted model, not a curated record
GGUUAUUCCUAAGGACAUUUGGUGCUGACAUGAUUGCUGGAUUACACCAUCUCCACACCCUGGGCUUUGUGUUUUGUGACAUUUCCCCAGGCAAGGUAA